Molecule: long non-coding RNA, 3861 nt
Filed under: Triticum aestivum (bread wheat)
Lineage: Eukaryota; Viridiplantae; Streptophyta; Magnoliopsida; Poales; Poaceae
Description: long non-coding RNA (TAES_LNC004380)
Source: RNAcentral
UGAAUUUUAAUUGUAGAUAUACACUUUGCUUUGAUUGGGUGAUUCUGAAUAGGCCGUGCAAGCUAGUUCGAGUUCCCUGCGUCAGUGCUAAUGAUGUUAUAGAACACAGCCAGAAGAAACCGUGCUGCGAUUUCCGAUGUCCGCUCAUGUUUGAUCUUCAAGCAAGUCCGCUCAUGUUUGAUCUUCAAGCAAUCCUACUUGCUGACAUUUAUCUGGCUGUUGAUUCAGCUUGUAUUCUGGCCGACUUGUGGCUAUUGUUGCUUUUUUUUUUGUUCAUCUGUUUCUGUACUAAGUCCGACGCUUGCUCCUGUGCACGCAUACGAGAAAUCACACUUUCAAGUUUCAUUCUAAUAAAAUGAAAGCAAGAGGUGUGCCUUUUUUUUAAUGGCAGCAAGUAAGAACAACUUUUUUGUAAUCAACACUCACCAAUGAUUGUAGGAGUAAGAGCCAUGAUCAGGUACACACAUCUUAAGCGCAGCAUCCACUUUGUCUCUUUCAGCCCGCCAAGAUAUUCCGUCAGAUGGCGAUGGGAGCUGCAUGUUGCUCAAGCUAUUGCUUAAGUCAGGAUAUGUUGGCAUCUGAAACAUAAUAUAUCUCUUGUAGUAAACUGGUUGAUAAUAGAGCACAGUGAGCCUUCUGUUCAAGAAUUCUGUACAACAAAACUAUCUUUGUGAAUACUCGUAUAUUAUAUCAUAUACAUGUGCACAAGGUUUGAAUCCCUCUGUCAGUGGUGUACGGAAAUUGAAAUAUGAUACAGUCAAAUUUUCAGGAUUUUUACGGUGUGUAUCUUGAUUUGAUUCAUCUUCCUUGAGCCAAGUGUAGCCUGGAUGUAGCCACUUUGGUGCAGCUUCUCCAGUCAUUAUGACACUUGAUAUGUAGUUAUUAACACUGUCAUACAAAGCUCCUCUUAAUUCGGUCAUAUAAGUAAGCAGAUAUGGGAGUUAUCAUUUUUUCCACGGAAUAGCCAGAUCGCAGAUUUGUUGGUCAACAAUAAGCUAAAGCAUCCCUUGCAAAAGGAAAGAAAGAAAGAAACAGAUUCGCUCGAUCUCAAGCAGUGCUACAGGAGAGGGGAUGGACAAACUGGGUUUGGGAUGUAGAUUCACUUGAUUUAGUUAGACUUAAGGGUCUGUUCUGUAAAAUGCACCAGUAGCUACCUUGCACCGCAUCAUGUCCCUCUGUUUUUAAUCCAAGGGCUCAUGUUCCACUAGAGCACCUGGUGCACGAGUCGCCCGGGUGCACAUGAUACGUUCUCUAGCAAAAAAUUCGAUGCGUUGCAAGAAUUUCUAUCUAGUCACCUUCCUGAAGAAUGUAACGUGAACUAAAUGAGGAAUGAAAUACAAAGUUAAUCUGUAAUAAGAGGACACAUUCUAAAUAAAAGGAACCAUUAGCUCACUACCAUAUUGUCAGUGUUUUCCUUGCAAGCUAUUAUAAUAGCACCUUGAGCAACUUCUGGAAGCAUUUUUUUGGGAUGCAAUAAAUUUGGCUUGCUCUUGGUUAUUCCUUGGUUGCUUCAAUCAAUGUUGAAGACACAGGUUGCGAUAAUUCUCAUUCUUGUUGGAACUGAAUUUGUACAAUCUUGCGACAUUCCUGGAUCUCAAAUGGAUGCAACUUAUUUGUAUCCAUUUCUUUUUUCAAUCAGUUCCGGGUCCUUAUUUUUUUGACUGCUACAUUAAAUCUCCAAGGCAUCAUUUGGUUCACAGGGUAGGAAUACCAUGGAAUAGGAAAACUACAGAAACUGAGGUGACAUGUAUCUCAAUUCUUAUAGGAAAAUAGAUGUCAUUUGAUUCAUAGGCUAGGAAUUUUCCCUUCCCAUUGGGUCCAUGCUGCUUUUAAGGGCAUGUUUGGUUGCCUACAUUGUUUUUUUGCCACUUUGCGUACUUGUCUCAGUUGGGCCGGGUUGAGCGAAUGCAGCCUAAAAACCAUCAUCUACACAUCGUUUGAUUGCUUGCAUUUGGUUAUGGGCUUGUUUAGGUAGAAAUGCAAGUCAGGUUGUUUGGUUAGAUGCAACGCAUGUUGUUUGGCAACCUCUUGAUGGAGGUGGUGAGGUUAUGAGCACACUGACAAUGAGGACGUAAAUUAGCAUAAUAUGAUGAUACCAAUCAUAAACAACCAAUCUUAAAAAAGCAGUUAUUAACAAACAAGACAUAAAUAAACAACUUAAACAAACCGCUCGACCUAAACAGAAGCAAAUCCAGGCAAGAGAGAACUUUCUAGGCAUUCAUGGCAAAGGCAUCGUCGUGCUUCUUUCACUUCGUCACCACCACAAUGCUGUCGUCGCUGAAGACGAUCACCUUUAGGGUGUCGGGACUCAGGAACUUGAACGUGACUAGGUAGUCGAUCCUGAUCGGUGAACAAAGGCGAAGGGGGCCCAACUCUGAUCAAGGGUGACGCUGCUAUUGAUCACCCGGACCGUCACCCUCCAAGCGCAGCAGGUGUUGGUUUUGACCUUGAACUCCUGAGGGAUGACGGGGAAGUGCUUGGUGAAGUCCACGGGCAUCGGCAGACACUCCAGCUUCGGUGAAAGGAUGACCUUGCAGAAGUGGGUUGGUCCUGCCUCCUCAUGGCAAUGGUCGUAGUUCCUCAUCCGCUUGCCGCUUCGGAAAGCCUAUGACAGCGUGAAGCAGCAAUUUCUCUACAAUAAAAAAAAUCUUCCCUUCUGGCGACUUAUAAAUUCCAUCUAAAUCUAUUGGGGGCUCCACCACGUCCUUGCCCUUGUCUUCACCGUCACCACAUCCUUGCCCUUGUCUUCGCCAGCACCACAUCCUUGCCCUUGUCUUCGGCGGACACCACCUCCUUGCUCUUGGAGUUCUUCGAGGUAGCCUUGUUGAUAUGCAUUAUGAACAUCACGAAGUUCAAAGGAUGAUCAACAUUCAUUCAUCCCACCCAACUUGUCCAAAGCCCCUAUUUAUCCACCACUGCACUUUCACUGUCACUCUCUAUUUUCUAUCCUCUUCCACAUCUCUGUCUCACCACCUCUCCAUCACCAUGAAUCCCAUCCUCAACCCCUUCCCCAACGGCAUUGGAUGAAGGGAUUUCUUCCUUGGUUGCUCGCUCUAUGACCAAACCAAGUCCACCAAGACCAUGGAGGUGUGCUCUCAGUUCACCAGCAUCGAGGACAUGCAUAUAGAGGCAGACGAAGUGGUGUUGAAGGCGACGAAGGAGGAGUUGAAGACGAUGAUACCUGACCCAGUCAAAGGCGCUAUGGAAAUGGACAUACUACGUUGGGCGAUGGAUCAUACCGAGUCCGACUAUGCUGGUCAGAGAGGAAUAUGGGCCAGGUACGGGCUUGUUAGGGCUCCUCAAGACCAGCCACCAUCAUUCUGGAGCCAGAGGAGGACGAUGAAGCAGGGGGGCUCAUGGUCAGGGCACCAGAGGCUAGCGACUGUACUAUGCCCAUUGUUCUGGACAACAACGAGGAUGAGGGGUGGUGGAUGAUGCGGUUAAGGCGGGGUGACCGACUACAUGGCCAAGGGCCUCCGACGCUCCAAGCGCCUCCAAGGUCACCGUGGCUAGGUGUAGCGUAAGCUUGAUUUACUCCCAAACCCUUAUACUCAAUUCCCGUUCAAACCCUAAUAUUCAUCGGUACUACCUAAAUGUAGAUGUUUUGGUAAAUCCACUUUCGAACCCCCACAUUCAAUCGAACCCCUACCACGCGAAUCAAAUGUGAAAAUCGAAUCAAAUAUGCGAAUUAAAUAUGGAAAUCGAGAGUGAGGAGGUGAAGCAGAGGGCUUACCACCAUUGUCAUCGAACACUUGUCAGUGAGGUGGUGAAGCCGGUGAUUGCCGUUGGUGCGAGCCUUGCAGUUCUUCGCUUUGUUGAUCGCCGCUGUCGGUGUGAGACUGGGGAGAGGGGAGAGAGAGC